This 485-nucleotide ribosomal RNA is filed under the name uncultured bacterium. RNAcentral's name for it is "partial 16S ribosomal RNA". It matches the Rfam family "Bacterial small subunit ribosomal RNA", at positions 30 to 507 of the family's 1533-position model. The record is from RNAcentral.
UUGAACGCUGGCGGCAUGCCUUACACAUGCAAGUCGAACGGCAGCACGGGUGCUUGCACCUGGUGGCGAGUGGCGAACGGGUGAGUAAUACAUCGGAACAUGUCCUGUAGUGGGGGAUAGCCCGGCGAAAGCCGGAUUAAUACCGCAUACGAUCUACGGAUGAAAGCGGGGGACCUUCGGGCCUCGCGCUAUAGGGUUGGCCGAUGGCUGAUUAGCUAGUUGGUGGGGUAAAGGCCUACCAAGGCGACGAUCAGUAGCUGGUCUGAGAGGACGACCAGCCACACUGGGACUGAGACACGGCCCAGACUCCUACGGGAGGCAGCAGUGGGGAAUUUUGGACAAUGGGCGAAAGCCUGAUCCAGCAAUGCCGCGUGUGUGAAGAAGGCCUUCGGGUUGUAAAGCACUUUUAUCCGGAAAGAAAUCCUUGGCCCUAAUACGGUCGGGGGAUGACGGUACCGGAAGAAUAAGCACCGGCUAACUACGUG